This is a long non-coding RNA of Micropterus salmoides (largemouth bass), 530 nucleotides long. RefSeq lists it as uncharacterized. The record is from RefSeq and is a predicted model, not a curated record. The transcript is spliced from 3 exons. NCBI's taxonomy places the organism in Eukaryota, Metazoa, Chordata, Actinopteri, Centrarchiformes, Centrarchidae.
AAAGUCAAACAGUCACACCAGGUAUGUGAUUGUGUUUGUGGAUAAGUGUCACAGCAAGAACAAAAAGUGUUUUGGCUCUGGAAGGGAAAGUCACUGUAUGUGAAGGAGGUACAGUGGCAGAUGUCCCUGAAAUAAUACUGUGUCUAUUUGUUGAGUUUAGUAUGAGAUAAGACACUGGACUCAACCUGUUCUGCUGGAGACUCAGGGUAAAGGUUAUAUUACCAAAGAAACAACUUAACAGUUAUGUUACAUGAGCUUCAUGAAAAUUUGGCUUCGUUUAAGCAGAUAACAAAGUCUCAGACAUCAGCCCAAGGAUCGGUACGUGAUGUCACCGUCACACAUUGAAGCGCAUCUGCUGGCUGCACAUACAUGUCCGUGUGUGGCGGUGGCGAGAUCAUGCUUUUAUUGUUGCCUGAACCAGAAGAAACUAUCUAUCCAUCCAGCCAUCGUCAACCGCUUAUCCUGCGUACAGGGUUGCGGGGAACAAGAGGAAACCCCUGAGAAAAUAUUUUCCUCUCUGUGUAAACUAA